UCCCUGGUGGCUCAUAUGGUAAAGCGUCUGUCUCCAGUGCAGGAGACCUGGGUUCAAUCCCUGGGUUGGGAA
Molecule: transfer RNA, 72 nt
Filed under: Ovis aries (sheep)
Lineage: Eukaryota; Metazoa; Chordata; Mammalia; Artiodactyla; Bovidae
Rfam family: tRNA
About the family: Transfer RNA (tRNA) molecules are approximately 80 nucleotides in length. Their secondary structure includes four short double-helical elements and three loops (D, anti-codon, and T loops).
Source: Rfam by way of RNAcentral